UACAGAGGUGGCAAGCGUUGUUCGGAAUUACUGGGCGUAAAGGGCGAGUAGGUGGCCAUCUAAGUCAGACGUGAAAUCCCCCGGCUUAACCUGGGAACUGCGUCUGAUACUGGACGGCUUGAGUAUGGGAGAGGAACGUAGAAUUCCAGGUGUAGCGGUGAAAUGCGUAGAUAUCUGGAGGAAUACCGGUGGCGAAGGCGGCGUUCUGGACCAUUACUGACACUGAAUCGCGAAAGCUAGGGGAGCAAGCGGG
Molecule: ribosomal RNA, 253 nt
Filed under: uncultured bacterium
Lineage: Bacteria
Description: partial 16S ribosomal RNA
Rfam family: Bacterial small subunit ribosomal RNA
Source: RNAcentral